UAGCACAGAGAGCUUGCUCUCGGGUGACGAGCGGCGGACGGGUGAGUAAUGUCUGGGAAACUGCCUGAUGGAGGGGGAUAACUACUGGAAACGGUAGCUAAUACCGCAUAAUGUCGCAAGACCAAAGUGGGGGACCUUCGGGCCUCAUGCCAUCAGAUGUGCCCAGAUGGGAUUAGCUAGUAGUGGGGUAACGGCUCACCUAGGCGACGAUCCCUAGCUGGUCUGAGAGGAUGACCAGCCACACUGGAACUGAGACACGGUCCAGACUCCUACGGGAGGCAGCAGUGGGGAAUAUUGCACAAUGGGCGCAAGCCUGAUGCAGCCAUGCCGCGUGUAUGAAGAAGGCCUUCGGGUUGUAAAGUACUUUCAGCGGGGAGGAAGGCGAUAAGGUUAAUAACCUUGUCGAUUGACGUUACCCGCAGAAGAAGCACCGGCUAACUCCGUGCCAGCAGCCGCGGUAAUACGGAGGGUGCAAGCGUUAAUCGGAAUUACUGGGCGUAAAGCGCACGCAGGCGGUCUGUCAAGUCGGAUGUGAAAUCCCCGGGCUCAACCUGGGAACUGCAUUCGAAACUGGCAGGCUAGAGUCUUGUAGAGGGGGGUAGAAUUCCAGGUGUAGCGGUGAAAUGCGUAGAGAUCUGGAGGAAUACCGGUGGCGAAGGCGGCCCCCUGGACAAAGACUGACGCUCAGGUGCGAAAGCGUGGGGAGCAAACAGGAUUAGAUACCCUGGUAGUCCACGCCGUAAACGAUGUCGAUUUGGAGGUUGUGCCCUUGAGGCGUGGCUUCCGGAGCUAACGCGUUAAAUCGACCGCCUGGGGAGUACGGCCGCAAGGUUAAAACUCAAAUGAAUUGACGGGGGCCCGCACAAGCGGUGGAGCAUGUGGUUUAAUUCGAUGCAACGCGAAGAACCUUACCUGGUCUUGACAUCCACAGAACUUAGCAGAGAUGCUUUGGUGCCUUCGGGAACUGUGAGACAGGUGCUGCAUGGCUGUCGUCAGCUCGUGUUGUGAAAUGUUGGGUUAAGUCCCGCAACGAGCGCAACCCUUAUCCUUUGUUGCCAGCGGUCCGGCCGGGAACUCAAAGGAGACUGCCAGUGAUAAACUGGAGGAAGGUGGGGAUGACGUCAAGUCAUCAUGGCCCUUACGACCAGGGCUACACACGUGCUACAAUGGCAUAUACAAAGAGAAGCGACCUCGCGAGAGCAAGCGGACCUCAUAAAGUAUGUCGUAGUCCGGAUUGGAGUCUGCAACUCGACUCCAUGAAGUCGGAAUCGCUAGUAAUCGUAGAUCAGAAUGCUACGGUGAAUACGUUCCCGGGCCUUGUACACACCGCCCGUCACACCAUGGGAGUGGGUUGCAAAAGAAGUAGGUAGCUAACCUCGGAGGGCGCU
RNAcentral lists this ribosomal RNA (1388 nucleotides) under Klebsiella quasipneumoniae subsp. quasipneumoniae. RNAcentral describes it as "bacterial SSU rRNA". It matches the Rfam family "Bacterial small subunit ribosomal RNA". Lineage: Bacteria; Pseudomonadati; Pseudomonadota; Gammaproteobacteria; Enterobacterales; Enterobacteriaceae. The record is from RNAcentral.